UCGAACGGAGCACCCUUGAAAGAGAUUUCGGUCAAUGGAUAGGAAUGCUUAGUGGCGGACUGGUGAGUAACGCGUGAGGAACCUGCCUUCCAGAGGGGGACAACAGUUGGAAACGACUGCUAAUACCGCAUGACACAUGACCGUGGCAUCACGGACAUGUCAAAGACUUAUCGCUGGAAGAUGGCCUCGCGUCUGAUUAGCUGGUAGGCGGGGUAACGGCCCACCUAGGCGACGAUCAGUAGCCGGACUGAGAGGUUGACCGGCCACAUUGGGACUGAGAUACGGCCCAGACUCCUACGGGAGGCAGCAGUGGGGAAUAUUGGGCAAUGGGCGCAAGCCUGACCCAGCAACGCCGCGUGAAGGAAGAAGGCUUUCGGGUUGUAAACUUCUUUUAAGGGGGAAGAGGAGAAGACGGUACCCCUUGAAUAAGCCACGGCUAACUACGUGCCAGCAGCCGCGGUAAUACGUAGGUGGCAAGCGUUGUCCGGAUUUACUGGGUGUAAAGGGCGUGCAGCCGGGAGGACAAGUCAGAUGUGAAAUCCCGCGGCUCAACCGCGGAACUGCAUUUGAAACUGUUUUUCUUGAGUACCGGAGAGGUCAUCGGAAUUCCUUGUGUAGCGGUGAAAUGCGUAGAUAUAAGGAAGAACACCAGUGGCGAAGGCGGAUGACUGGACGGCAACUGACGGUGAGGCGCGAAAGCGUGGGG
RNAcentral lists this ribosomal RNA (706 nucleotides) under uncultured bacterium. RNAcentral's name for it is "bacterial SSU rRNA". It matches the Rfam family "Bacterial small subunit ribosomal RNA", at positions 62 to 766 of the family's 1533-position model. The record is from RNAcentral.